RNAcentral lists this ribosomal RNA (447 nucleotides) under uncultured bacterium. RNAcentral describes it as "bacterial SSU rRNA". It matches the Rfam family "Bacterial small subunit ribosomal RNA", at positions 355 to 825 of the family's 1533-position model. The record is from RNAcentral.
UGGGGAAUCUUGGACAAUGGGCGCAAGCCUGAUCCAGCCAUGCCGCGUGAGUGACGAAGGCCUUAGGGUUGUAAAGCUCUUUUGGCGGGGACGAUAAUGACGGUACCCGCAGAAUAAGCCCCGGCUAACUUCGUGCCAGCAGCCGCGGUAAUACGAAGGGGGCUAGCGUUGUUCGGAAUUACUGGGCGUAAAGCGCACGUAGGUGAAUAGUUAAGUUCGGGGUGAAAUCCCAGGGCUCAACCCUGGAACUGCCUCGGAUACUGGCUAUCUCGAGUCCGGAAGAGGUGAGUGGAAUUCCUAGUGUAGAGGUGAAAUUCGUAGAUAUUAGGAAGAACACCGGUGGCGAAGGCGGCUCACUGGUCCGGUACUGACACUGAGGUGCGAAAGCGUGGGGAGCAAACAGGAUUAGAUACCCCGGUAGUCCCUGAGCGGGCUGGCAAGGCGCAU